UACAGAGGGGGCAAGCGUUAUUCGGAAUUAUUGGGCGUAAAGGGCGCGUAGGCGGCUUGGCAAGUGGAUGGUGAAAUCCCUCGGCUUAACCGAGGAACUGCCGUCCAAACUGCUUCGCUUGAGACCGGGAGAGGUGAGUGGAAUUCCCAGUGUAGCGGUGAAAUGCGUAGAUAUUGGGAGGAACACCAGUGGCGAAGGCGGCUCACUGGACCGGAACUGACGCUGAGGCGCGAAAGCGUGGGGAGCAAACAGG
This 253-nucleotide ribosomal RNA is filed under the name uncultured bacterium. RNAcentral describes it as "partial 16S ribosomal RNA". It matches the Rfam family "Bacterial small subunit ribosomal RNA", at positions 524 to 776 of the family's 1533-position model. The record is from RNAcentral.